GAAUUUCAAUGUGUUUCAAUUUUUUUGCAAGUUCAAAAACUCAGACGAUAGAUAAUUGUCGUACAAAAAUACGAAAAUUAAAGAUCAAAAUCUUAGAAAUUUGUCGAGCUCAGACUACAUUUUUAUGUCGUCUGAACAACUUGAAAAUCUCAAAUUGUAAGAGAGGGAAAGAUACCGCGCUUAUUAACACUUAGCCAAAUCUAGGAGGGAAAGAUACAGUUGCGUUAGCCCCAAAACUGAAAACCAAUUUAACCAACAAAAAAAAAGAAAAUGAAAACCUACCACGCACUCGCAUCGAUCAAAACAGAAAACCCAUGCCAUUUGGUCAAAACAGAAAACCAAUUUGCUCAAAAACCAAUUUCCCUCCCGAUUCACUCAAAUCCAUUUCGCUCAAAUCACUUAAAACUCUAAUUCACUCUCAGCCUAACCUUCUCUCGAUCUCUCUCUCAGCCUAUACAUUGAAAGAUGAACCACGAACUCAGAAAGAUGAACCUAAGUGACAAUCUGGGUUAGCUAUUUCGAUUUGGGUUUAGCGAUUUUGUCACUUCUGUGCUCAGUCUGUCUCGCAAAGGAAGUUUGAGGUUGUUUAUGCUCAUUCUAAGUGACAAUUUGGUAAGCCUCUCUCACUCGAUGGGAGUUGUUUAUGGUUCUAGAGUUUACGAAUUGGGAGUUUUUUAAUUUUCGAUUUGGUUUUUGAAUUGGGGGUUUGGUUAGUUUUCAAUUUGGGUUGUUUAGUUUUCGAUUUCGGUUUUGGUUUUCAUAGUGUUAUUGAAAGGAUUGAGAAAUAUGUAUACCUUACCCUCUGUCAUGAGCCGCUUGACUUUGUAUAGGUCCGAGAAUAUUAAACUCAAGAUGACAUUUUAUAAAAUAUGAGAACAGAUAAUUUGGUGGAUAUACGUGUUAGGUUGAAGAAAAUGGAGGGAUUUAAGGUGACAAAGAUGGGAGGUUCUGGUUCUCUAUUUUCUGUUUACUUC
This 974-nucleotide long non-coding RNA is filed under the name Fragaria vesca (wild strawberry). RNAcentral describes it as "long non-coding RNA (FVES_LNC004501)". Lineage: Eukaryota; Viridiplantae; Streptophyta; Magnoliopsida; Rosales; Rosaceae. The record is from RNAcentral.